GGGGAAAAGUGGGGGGCAGCCAGAGGGGGGUUAAGGGUGGGGGGGGUCGCUGGGCGCUGCGGCCGCGCUCGCUGGGGAGGCCUCGGCUGCGCUUCCCGGGGGGUUGCUUGCUUGCCCGGGCGGCCUCUCCUCGCCGCUCGCCGGCUCGGGUCAGCGCUUUAACUACUUCGCUAACCUGCUUAGCUCGCCUAGCGGCUCACAAACUACGCACGCUAGCUCCCGAGCACGUCUCUACCUGCACCACCCCUACCACCCCGCGCCCCACCCCGCACAGGAGAGCGUCCCGUACAUGAGGCAACGGUGCGGGAAGGUGGGAAAGCCGCCGCGGCAGCUGUAGUAGCAGCAACUCGUCGGGCUGCCGAGGAUGGCGUCGUGCGGGACCAUACAGGCGAAACCGUUCAAGGUCCCACAAGAGUUCGCAUUGCUCUUCCAGCAGUGGUAGCGGCAGUUACCGCACCUGCGGUCGAAGGUGUACGACGAGCUGUUGAGACCGGUCCGUAUGAAGUACGCCCUCGAGCACGGACCACCACUCCUGAGGCUCUGGCGACGUCUUCUUCGAUGCUCGCUCGGACUUUGAGGAGACGCAUCAUUCUCACUGCCCCUUGAAAUGUCGGUCAACCAGCCGGGUCUCAACUUACUCCUAGUCCUCCAUGUUUUACCUCUCCUCAAACUAAGUAUACCGAUAAGGUUCAACCUCCUCCGUCUCCUAAACCGUUUAGUUCGACCACCCCCACCCCCGUUAAGUCUCUACGAAAACCAAUCACACUUGCCCACACAAGAUUGACGAGGGUAAAGAAGUUGACUCCUCUUAUACCUCCUACACGUUGAUUCACUGGGGGUCAAGGUAAACCCCGGACCCCUCUCGAGCUCACCGCUAGAGUCGGCGCCACCGCUCCACACCCUUAGACCGUAAAACCUACCAAAUAUGUAUAGUGUCCUUUUCCAAUUCAAACUAAGACUUGUAGGUAGUCUCCGAAACCUCCUCGAAGCCCUCCACAGUUAAAACUUCCUACCCAGUGUACUGUAGGGUCAAUUACUUGUACUUUCGGAGGUACAGAGACAAUUACUUCCGGUCUGGACACAACGUAACUGGUUACGAGAACUACACAGCCACUUGUUACUACUACGAAUAGUUGGUAACUGGUUACUUCUGUUCUGAACACUGUAAGGUGACCAAGUCUCGUUGACACAACGUAACUGGUUACUUCUACUCCAAGUCUCACACAGUGCUAGUCUCUUGUUGCCAGACUUAAUAGUUGGAAACCAGUACCUUCUACCUCAAGCACUUCAAAGUCCCUUGUUACCACUCCCGAUAGUUGGGAAAGGGUUAUUUCUACUUCGGGAACUACACAGCCACUUGUUACUACUACGAAUAGUUGGUAACUGGUUACUUCUACUCUGAACACUAUAAGGUGACCAAGUCUCGUUGCUCCGGACGUUCAGGGGUAGGUACCGUCCGUUCCAAACACUACGGUUGUUACUCUAAUAACUCCUACUCCACUUCCCAAAUAGUGUCAGUCCCUUGUUACCAGGCCUAAUAGUUUGCGACUUACACCUUCUACUCCGAUUACUAUAAAGUCCCUCGUUGCGACUCCAACUAGGUUAGAACGGGUUAUUUCUUCUCAGGGAACUAUAGAACCUCUUGUUACUACUCCCAAGAGUUGGUAACUGGUUACUUCUACUCUGAAGACUAUAAGGUGACCAAGUCUUGUUACUCCGGACGUUCAGGGGUAGGUUCCGUCCGUUCCAAACACUACGGUCGUUACUCUAAUAACUCCUACUCCAAGUCCCAAAUAGUGUCAGUCCCUUGUUACCAGGCUUAAUAGUUUACGACUUACACCUUCUACUCCGAUUACUAUAAAGUCCCUCGUUGCGACUCCAACUAGGUGAGAACGGGUUAUUUCUUCACAGGGAACUAUAGAACCUCUUGUUACUACUCCCAAGAGUUGGGAACUGGUUACUUCUACUCCAAGUCUUACUACUCCGUACGCUUAGGGGUAGAUUCAGGCUGCUUUAAACACUACUUUCGUUACUCUUAUAAGUCCGAUCAAAAUCGUCUAAACUAUGAAAGUCUUCAACGAACCUAAACUGUAGUGUUCUACUACCUCUAAGUCCUUGACUUGAGAAAAGUGGUCUUAAACUAGUGGUCUCCCUAAGACUCGAAUCAGACUCAUAGGCAAGGCUAUAACUGUAUCUAGACCCUCUUCUAGCUUCACUUUGACGCGUGACACUAGUUAGGUUAGUUAAUUUCGUAUAUCUCCUUCACCUACAAAGCAGUCAAUGAAGUCUACUAUUAUAUUGUGCGUCGCUUCUGACGAGAGGACAGAUACCGUUCCGUCGACUAAACAGGACACUUCCCCCAAGACUACUUUCCUCCUUUCUAUGGUGGGGAAGAUUAUAACCUCGAACAUUUAGACUAGCGAACGCUUACAGGGGUUCGUCACUGUCUCUGUUUAAUCCUUCGUAAGGCCUCUUGGGUUGACGACUUCUCCUUUAUUUAUUUCUUCUCGUGGGGGUUAAUGUCUUCCCAAACCCGAAACUCUAAAGAGACACACCCGUGAACGAUGCCGGUCCUUACCCGGUUUGUAGACGACUACUCCACAAGGUUGUUGUAGAACAGGGACUCCUCCUAAAGUUUAACAGACCUGGUAGUUAUUAUUUUUUACGUUUGGAAUAACAGUCUUAACCGACAUUGAUAAAGUGUACCUCAUUUCAAAGAGUACAACAAGAACCCUUCCGACAUAAACCAGGUCUGAAGACACAUCUUGGAUAGCUACGAUAAGGUCAACUUGCGGUUCUUUGUGGGUUAAGCUCUCUACUAAGAGAACCCAACAGGGGUUCGGCCUCUACCUCCGACACCGGAUAAGGUAAAUCCUAUAGUUCUAGAGAAGUUGCGUCAUUAUCACUAAGAAGACUCCUAUAAAAAGAACUGUGUCUCUGUCAGAAUUCAGGAUACCUACUCGUUCGGGGUCGGUUGUUAUUUCUGGUCAGUGGUUCUUUCGUUAAACACGCCUGAAAUUAAGGGUGAUCGCUUGUCCACCGUAGAGAUUUAGAAUUCCUCCCUGUUUUGUAACAGUGGAAAUCGAAGACGUGGUCUCAAAAACCCUUCGUCGUCCAACUACGUGUAUAGAUGCACACCUUUACCUUACGUUUUUAACAAUAUAGGCUGCACCUACCUUGGUAGUGUUCCAGACUACAGAACCCGGUCCAGUACGGAAAUCAACCUGCUCUAACCUCAGUCAGACCACAACGAGCUGAGAAAAGACGUUAUUUCCUUUUACCAAUAGUUGACUAUAAGGAAUCGCGAUCUCGGUAACAGGUCCGUAUAGACUGUUUUUUGAAGGAGAAGUUAGAUUUUGUCCUACCCUUUCAUUACGGAUUACCUGGACAACAUUAAAGCGGGCUACCUAACAAGGGAAGCGAGAUGGCUCUUCAAUAUGCUUCUCGUGGUGUACUCAAGUUCUAACGGACAGACCUCCUGUAAUUUCGUGAAAAAGGAAGGCUGAUGUUAGGUAAAAUACGACCUAAACCGUUGUCUCUGUGACUGCUCGAAUGUAUGUUUUUCUACCCUUAAAGCUUUCCGUUCUAAAAAUAGUAGUUGGGGUUCCCACUUCACCGGUAGUUAUCAAGUCAACUACACUUCAGGAUAUGGAGGAACGUAUGGGAACAGUUACUGUACAAGGGAGGUUGUUGAAACCAACUCGUCCUUCUGAUGUUGAGGACCUUAAUAACCUUCCACGGCGACGGUCUGUAACUAAACAUCUCAUCAAAACUGUUCAUGUCGUCAUCUGCGUUCAUCUCAGACGCCUGUCGUACUGGCCGUUCGAGCACAUACGAUCAAGAGUUAGCGGUGUCGUCUUAAGACGGGUUGGACAUUUCGUAGACCACUCAAAAGGUCUACCUGACAAAACUAGCGGCAACAACGUCUUCGAGCUAAAAGGAACGGGGCUGCGUCGAGAUAGUGCUAGUAAGUAGAAAAUCCAUCACUAGACUAGCAGUAUCGGCAGCAACUUUGAAUAGCGACGACACGGCCGUAGAGUUAAGCGUUGCUCCAUCGGGCGGCUCGGACAAUCAUUAGACAAUAGUCGUCGACGAUCGGACACAACGAAAGGCACAAGAGCAUCGAGAUCCGACACUACAUCGAGUAGACAGUCAAUCUAAUGAGCACCAUGUAAUGACCUUUCGUUGUCCCUUGUCUUUUGACAGAUAGUGCGACAUACAACAACAUAUACCCUAUAUUUAUGCUGACGUAAAAAGACAUUUGCAGCGUACGAUUACUAUAACAUCAUACCAUGUUAAAGGGUAGAGCACCAGCAUUGAGACGACUGUUAACGGUUUACCGCUUCUUAUUUG
This 4353-nucleotide ribosomal RNA is filed under the name Triticum aestivum (bread wheat). RNAcentral describes it as "partial small subunit ribosomal RNA". Lineage: Eukaryota; Viridiplantae; Streptophyta; Magnoliopsida; Poales; Poaceae. The record is from RNAcentral.